GUGAUCAGCACAUACAUUAAAACUGUAACGAUGCAGAAAAAAAUUAGUAUGGCUCUUGGGCAAGACUGACACACGAAUUUGUGAAGUGUUCCAAAUUUUU
Molecule: small nuclear RNA, 100 nt
Filed under: Camelus ferus (Wild Bactrian camel)
Lineage: Eukaryota; Metazoa; Chordata; Mammalia; Artiodactyla; Camelidae
Source: RNAcentral